UGCGAGUUCGCGGGAGAGUAAGUUAUUGCCAGGGUUUUUAUUUUUUUUAAUGUUUAUGUUAUUUGAAUGGCUUAUUCAAAUAACAUAAAAAAGAAAAUAGAUAUUGACAUGGAUUAAACAAAGAUAUAUAUUAUUCUAUGUUGCAUAAACAAAUUGGCAAAGUAGAGAUGGAAGAUAAAAAUAUGGUCAAAGUAAUAAGAGUCUAUGGUGAAUGCCUAGGA
RNAcentral lists this unclassified non-coding RNA (221 nucleotides) under Borreliella spielmanii. RNAcentral describes it as "partial 5S-23S ribosomal RNA intergenic spacer". The record is from RNAcentral. Lineage: Bacteria; Pseudomonadati; Spirochaetota; Spirochaetia; Spirochaetales; Borreliaceae.